GAUGAACGCUGGCGGCGUGCCUAACACAUGCAAGUCGAGCGAACAGACGAGGAUCUGGCUCCUCUGACGUUACCGGCGGACGGGUGAGGUACACGUGCAUAACCUAUCUAUGAGACUGGGUUAACUUAGGGAAACCGGAGCUAGUACCGGAUAAUAGAUGGAACCGCAUGGUUCAAUAGUCAAAGCCGGUUUUGCUGUCACUUUUAGAUGGAUCCGCGUCGCUUUAGUUAGUUGGUAAGGUAACGGCUUACCAAGGCAACGUUGCGUAGCCGACCUGAGAGGGGGACGCGCCACACUGGGACUGAGACACGGCCCAGACUCCGACGGGAGGCAGCAGUAGGGAAUGUUGGGCAAUGGGGGGAAGAUUGACCGAGCCACGCCGCGUGGGUGAUGAAGGUCUUCGGGUGGGAAAACACUGUUAGUAGGGAAGAACGAUUGCGGCAGGAUCGAUGCUCGUGUUGACGGUACCUGCAGAAGAAGCACCGGCUAACUACGUG
RNAcentral lists this ribosomal RNA (497 nucleotides) under uncultured bacterium. Its description in RNAcentral is "partial 16S ribosomal RNA". It matches the Rfam family "Bacterial small subunit ribosomal RNA", at positions 28 to 507 of the family's 1533-position model. The record is from RNAcentral.